UACGGAGGAUCCGAGCGUUAUCCGGAUUUACUGGGUGUAAAGGGAGCGUAGACGGCGGGGCAAGUCUGGAGUGAAAGGCCGGGGCCCAACCCCGGGACCGCUCUGGAAACUAUAUGACUGGAGUGCAGGAGAGGUGAGCGGAAUUCCUAGUGUAGCGGUGAAAUGCGUAGAUAUUAGGAGGAACACCAGUGGCGAAGGCGGCUCACUGGACUGUAACUGACGUUGAGGCUCGAAAGCGUGGGGAGCAAACAGG
Molecule: ribosomal RNA, 253 nt
Filed under: uncultured Eubacteriales bacterium
Lineage: Bacteria; Bacillati; Bacillota; Clostridia; Eubacteriales
Description: uncultured Clostridiales bacterium partial 16S ribosomal RNA
Rfam family: Bacterial small subunit ribosomal RNA
Source: RNAcentral